AAUCUCAGCAAGUCUGGCUCUCAUUGCAUUGUACAAACCGCAGGGCCAAGCCUACCUCAGCUGACUGGUUAAUGGCAGCUAUGCAAAGCCUUCUGCAGGUACCUAAGGAUAAAACUGGCCUGAAGGGAAAAUCUGGGGGAAACUGGGGAGCUUGACUGUUCUUGCACCUGACCCUCUCAGCUGUCAGAUGCGGUGAUCUCCAUGGUAACUCAAACCCCCAGACUCUCGACAGCAGCCUGCGAGGAGCAGCAUUCAGCAGCUCAAGGGUCUCACGACCAGGUAAGCCAAAAUUAACCACCCAGCAAGAGCCUACCUCAAGUAUGUGGUUUUCUGUCCAACUGCCUUUCAGGUUUCUCCCUGGUGAAGCUACGCAUGC
Molecule: long non-coding RNA, 376 nt
Filed under: Calidris pygmaea (Spoon-billed sandpiper)
Lineage: Eukaryota; Metazoa; Chordata; Aves; Charadriiformes; Scolopacidae
Description: lncRNA (ENSCPGG00000016945.1)
Source: RNAcentral